AUGGAUUUUAUUGGUGCAAAUAAAUUGUACUCAGUACAAUACCAUGUUGAUGUUUUUCCCACAAUAUAUAUGCAUGUAUAUUUUCAGACUGGUCUUCUGAUUUUCGAAACCCUCACAACAUCCACAUCCACUCUUUUGCAGCCUUUUCUUCCCCUCUCUUCCUUUCUACACAGUUGCAUUGUUCCUGGGUUCUGUCUGUUGUUCCAGCCAAGUGAUAUUUGGAUGGAGAAGCUAAGGGCUAAAGCAGAAGCAUGUGAUGCAUGGGCAGAGAAUGAAGUUCCCAAAUGACGCUUUGAGAAAGAGGACAUUUUUCCAAAUUAACAGAAGGAGAGAGAGAAAACUCAGAGCUGGACUGAACCCCAAAUGUGGUGGUCAAGUUUCAUCAAGAUUCUAGCUGCGCAGAUCAAGAAUUACCAGGAUGUAAAAAGUUGUGUGGAGUCAAAGCUAUCAAGCACUCAACCACAGAUUCCUCAUCUGUCCAGGUUACCAGCAGUAUGUGAUAGUUGAAACUUUCCAAUACACUGGAGUCAGCUGAUGAAAGGCAAAUAUUGUAAAGAUCUUGUCCCAUUGUAGAACAGUGUUCACUAACUUUGUUUUUCUGCAUUUCUUGUGAAAUAAUAUUAUCCUACCUCCACCCCACACCAGAGGCAGCAUAAUCCUCUGUCCACAUACUGUACUGUAAAUUUCAAAAAGAUUGGAGUGUGCCACUGAUCAUACCUCAAAUGUUUAUGCAUGCUGUUUGAUCCCAGAAUACUGACUUAUGUCAUUAAUGGCUUGUGUCAUCCUCCUUUCCAGUUUCAGAAAUGGCAAGUGUUCAUCAUCUUAGCUACACUAAUCUAAUGCUUAAAGAAAAAAUAGAAAAGAACAAGGUAAAGCAGAACAGGACAUUGUAAAACCAGAUUCAGGAUGACUAUAAAAGGGACAAAAUAAAAUCAGUUAAAAAUUUUUUCCUUUUGUGUAU
RNAcentral lists this long non-coding RNA (961 nucleotides) under Chrysemys picta bellii (western painted turtle). Its description in RNAcentral is "lncRNA (ENSCPBG00000012841.1)". The record is from RNAcentral. Lineage: Eukaryota; Metazoa; Chordata; Testudines; Emydidae.